Molecule: ribosomal RNA, 251 nt
Filed under: uncultured prokaryote
Description: partial 16S ribosomal RNA
Rfam family: Bacterial small subunit ribosomal RNA (bases 41-251)
Source: RNAcentral
CCCUCUUCUUCCCUCUUUUUUCUUCCUUCUUUUUCUUCCCUCUCUUUUCUUCUUCUAUUUCCUUCGGUUGUGAAAGCCUUCCGCUUAACGGAAGAAUGGCGGACGAAACUGCAUGGCUUGAGUGCGGGAGGGGAGAGUGGAGCUUCUGGUGGAGCGGUGAAAUGCGUAGAUAUCAGAAGGAACGUCGGCGGCGAAAGCGACUCUCUAGACCGUAACUGACGCUGAGGUGCGAAAGCUAGGGGAGCAAACGG